RNAcentral lists this ribosomal RNA (327 nucleotides) under uncultured Bacteroidota bacterium. Its description in RNAcentral is "bacterial SSU rRNA". It matches the Rfam family "Bacterial small subunit ribosomal RNA", at positions 28 to 353 of the family's 1533-position model. The record is from RNAcentral. Lineage: Bacteria; Pseudomonadati; Bacteroidota.
GAUGAACGCUAGCGGCAGGCUUAACACAUGCAAGUCGAGGGGUACAGGAGAAGCUUGCUUUUUGCUGACGACCGGCGCACGGGUGCGUAACGCGUAUACAAUCUACCUCUUACUGAGGGAUAGCCCAGAGAAAUUUGGAUUAAUACCUCAUAGUAUGUUGAUUUGGCAUCAGAAUAACAUUAAAGGUUACGGUAAGAGAUGAGUAUGCGUUCUAUUAGCUAGUAGGUAUGGUAACGGCAUACCUAGGCGACGAUAGAUAGGGGGCCCUGAGAGGGGGAUCCCCCACACUGGUACUGAGACACGGACCAGACUCCUACGGGAGCAGCA